GGGCGCAUAGUUCAGUGGCAGAACACUCGAACACUGCUGGUCCGCUGAGGACGUGAGUUCGCGCGACACGUUCUCCUGGUAGCGGAUUAGCUGUUUGAGAGGCCCUGGGUUCAAGUCCCAGUGUGUCCA
RNAcentral lists this transfer RNA (129 nucleotides) under Halosimplex pelagicum. RNAcentral's name for it is "tRNA-OTHER". It matches the Rfam family "tRNA". Rfam says of the family: Transfer RNA (tRNA) molecules are approximately 80 nucleotides in length. Their secondary structure includes four short double-helical elements and three loops (D, anti-codon, and T loops). Lineage: Archaea; Methanobacteriati; Methanobacteriota; Halobacteria; Halobacteriales; Haloarculaceae. The record is from RNAcentral.